RNAcentral lists this ribosomal RNA (1440 nucleotides) under uncultured organism. Its description in RNAcentral is "SSU rRNA". It matches the Rfam family "Bacterial small subunit ribosomal RNA". The record is from RNAcentral.
AUGAUGAACGCUAGCUACAGGCUUAGCACAUGCAAGUCGAGGGGCAUCAGGAAGAAAGCUUGCUUUCUUUGCUGGCGACCGGCGCACGGGUGAGUAACACGUAUCCAACCUGCCCUUUACUCGGGGAUAGCCUUUCGAAAGAAAGAUUAAUACCCGAUGGCAUAAUGAUUCCGCAUGGUUUCAUUAUUAAAGGAUUCCGGUAAAGGAUGGGGAUGCGUUCCAUUAGGUUGUUGGUGAGGUAACGGCUCACCAAGCCUUCGAUGGAUAGGGGUUCUGAGAGGAAGGUCCCCCACAUUGGAACUGAGACACGGUCCAAACUCCUACGGGAGGCAGCAGUGAGGAAUAUUGGUCAAUGGGCGCUAGCCUGAACCAGCCAAGUAGCGUGAAGGAUGAAGGCUCUAUGGGUCGUAAACUUCUUUUAUAUAAGAAUAAAGUGCAGUAUGUAUACUGUUUUGUAUGUAUUAUAUGAAUAAGGAUCGGCUAACUCCGUGCCAGCAGCCGCGGUAAUACGGAGGAUCCGAGCGUUAUCCGGAUUUAUUGGGUUUAAAGGGAGCGUAGGUGGACUGGUAAGUCAGUUGUGAAAGUUUGCGGCUCAACCGUAAAAUUGCAGUUGAUACUGUCAGUCUUGAGUACAGUAGAGGUGGGCGGAAUUCGUGGUGUAGCGGUGAAAUGCUUAGAUAUCACGAAGAACUCCGAUUGCGAAGGCAGCUCACUGGACUGCAACUGACACUGAUGCUCGAAAGUGUGGGUAUCAAACAGGAUUAGAUACCCUGGUAGUCCACACAGUAAACGAUGAAUACUCGCUGUUUGCGAUAUACAGUAAGCGGCCAAGCGAAAGCAUUAAGUAUUCCACCUGGGGAGUACGCCGGCAACGGUGAAACUCAAAGGAAUUGACGGGGGCCCGCACAAGCGGAGGAACAUGUGGUUUAAUUCGAUGAUACGCGAGGAACCUUACCCGGGCUUAAAUUGCAGUGGAAUGAUGUGGAAACAUGUCAGUGAGCAAUCACCGCUGUGAAGGUGCUGCAUGGUUGUCGUCAGCUCGUGCCGUGAGGUGUCGGCUUAAGUGCCAUAACGAGCGCAACCCUUAUCUUUAGUUACUAACAGGUUAUGCUGAGGACUCUAGAGAGACUGCCGUCGUAAGAUGUGAGGAAGGUGGGGAUGACGUCAAAUCAGCACGGCCCUUACGUCCGGGGCUACACACGUGUUACAAUGGGGGGUACAGAAGGCAGCUAGCGGGUGACCGUAUGCUAAUCCCAAAAGCCUCUCUCAGUUCGGAUCGAAGUCUGCAACCCGACUUCGUGAAGCUGGAUUCGCUAGUAAUCGCGCAUCAGCCACGGCGCGGUGAAUACGUUCCCGGGCCUUGUACACACCGCCCGUCAAGCCAUGGGAGCCGGGGGUACCUGAAGUACGUAACCGCAAGGAUCGUCCUAGGGUAAAACU